UUCAAUGAAGUGCCAGCAACAAGAAAAAGGGUUAUUAACAUUGACAAAGCUCAAAUACCAGCCAUGAGGAUAAAAAUAAGAAGAUUCCUAAGGCAAUCACAUGCAGUCACAGUGCAAAGAAGAAGAGAGCAGCAGAGAUAGCAUCACGCAUAUUUACAUCAUGGUUUUGCACAAGAAAUAUAAAGAUGCUAAGCUAGCUAGGCUAAUCUACAAUAGCAGACAAAAACA
Molecule: long non-coding RNA, 228 nt
Filed under: Capsicum annuum
Lineage: Eukaryota; Viridiplantae; Streptophyta; Magnoliopsida; Solanales; Solanaceae
Description: long non-coding RNA (CANN_LNC012911)
Source: RNAcentral